Molecule: ribosomal RNA, 3102 nt
Filed under: Chloroflexota bacterium
Lineage: Bacteria; Bacillati; Chloroflexota
Description: 23S ribosomal RNA
Rfam family: Bacterial large subunit ribosomal RNA
Source: RNAcentral
UAACAAGCUACUAAGGGCGUGUGGUGGAUGCCUUGGCGCCAGGAGCCGAAGAAGGGCGUGGUUGACUGCGAAAAGCCGCGGAGAGCUGUGAACAAGCUUUGACCCGCGGAUACCCGAAUGGGGAAACCCGGCAGGAGUAAUGUCCUGUCACUGCCGUCUGAAGGACCUUCGGGUCUGUAGUAGGGCGGUGGAGGUAAGUGGGGGAACUGAAACAUCUAAGUACCCCGAGGAAUAGAAAGCAAAGAAUGCGAUUCCCGUAGUAGCGGCGAGCGAAAUGGGAAUAGCCCAAACCGUGUACAUGUGAUAGGCCCAGGCCGUUGUGGACACGGGGUUGUAGGAGUCGACCGGCCCGUCUGGGAGGGCCAAGAAGUCACAAAAUUGGACGUUAACCGAAGGUGGUUGGAAAGCCCCGCCAAAGACGGUGAAAGCCCGGUAGGUGAAAACGAGCCAAUCUUCCGUCGAAUUUCCUGAGUACCACGGGACACGAGAAACCCUGUGGGAAACCGGGAGGACCAUCUCCCAAGGCUAAAUACUGUCUGGCGACCGAUAGCGAACUAGUAACGUGAGUGAAAGGUGAAAAGUACCCCGGGAGGGGAGUGAAAUAGUACCUGAAACCAUAUGCCUACAAUCAGUCAAAGCACUAUGUCGGCUCGGGAUGCGGAAAGACCGUAAAAGCGCGAGGCUUGCCACUUCGGUGGCGGGAUUCGCGGGACGACGUUCCGCCUGCGUCCCAUAACGGCCGAAACGUGUGAUGGCGUGCCUUUCGAAGAAUGAACCGGCGAGUUAAUCAUCGCGGCGAGGUUAAGGGCCUAAGGUCCGGAGCCGCAGCGAAAGCGAGUCUUAAUAGGGCGUUUAGUCGUAGUGAUUAGACCCGAAACCAGGUGAGCUAGCCAUGGCCAGGAAGAAGCGAAAGUAACAUUUCGUGGAGGUCCGAACGCACCAAUGCUGCAAAAUUGGGCGAUGAGCUGUGGUUAGGGGUGAAACGCCAAUCGAACCUGGAGAUAGCUGGUUCUCCCCGAAAUAGUUUUAGGGCUAGCGUCCGGAUCGAGUUUGUUGGAGGUAGAGCACUGAUCGGGUGCGGGGGCACAUCGCCUACCAACCCCUAUCAAACUCCGAAUGCCAACAAACAUACCGGGCAGUCAGACUGCGAAGGCUAACCUCCGUAGUCAAGAGGGAAACAACCCAGACCGCCAGCUAAGGCCCCCAAAUCUCGGCUAAGUGGGAAACGAUGUGAGAUUGCAAAGACAACCAGGAUGUUGGCUUAGAAGCAGCCACCAUUGAAAGAGUGCGUAACUGCUCACUGGUCAAGUGGUCUUGCGCGGAAGAUGUAACGGGGCUCAAGCCGAGUGCCGAAGCUGCGGGAUUGAUGUCGGUUCGCCGGCGUCAAUCGGUAGGGGAGCGUUCCACGGGCGGUGAAGGUCGAGCGCGAGCACGGCUGGAGCGUGUGGAAGUGAGAAUGCCGGUAUGAGUAGCGAAAGAGGGGUGAGAAUCCCCUCCACCGAAUGCCUAAGGUUUCCUGAGGAAGGUUAAUCCUCUCAGGGUUAGUCGGGCCUAAGUCGAGGCCGCAAGGCGUAGACGAUGGACAACAGGUUUAUAUUCCUGUACCACCAACUUUCGUUAAACAAAGGGGGGACCCGGCGGGGUAGGUUGAGCGCAUUCAUGGCUAUAUGCGUCCAAGUAUGUAGGGUGGCCCCAUAGGUAAAUCCGUAGAGCUAUAUCCGAGAUACGAUGGAAAGACCAAGCGCAAGCGCGGUCAAUUCAAUUGAGCCCUGCCGGCGAGAAAAUCCUCGUUGUUUGAAUUUAGGUGCCCGUACCGUAAACCGACACUGGUAGGCGGGGGUAAACGCCCCAAGGUGAUCGGGAUAACUUCUGCUAAGGAACUCGGCAAAUUAACCCCGUAACUUAGGGAUAAGGGGUGCCCCAUUAGGAUGAAGGAUCCUCGCGAUCCGGAGUCUGAAGGGGCCGCAGUGCACAGGCUCAAGCGACUGUUUAACAAAAACACAGGUCUCUGCUAACGCGAAAGCGGAUGUAUAGGGGCUGACUCCUGCCCAGUGCCAGAAGGUUAAGUGAAAAGGUGUAACAGCUUUGAAAUGAAGCCCUGGUGAACGGCGGCCGUAACUCUAACGGUCCUAAGGUAGCGAAAUUCCUUGUCGGGUAAGUUCCGACCCGCACGAAUGGAGUAACGAUUUGAGCACUGUCUCGGCAGGGGACCCGGCGAAAUUGAAUUGCCCGUGAAGAUGCGGGCUACCCGCGACAGGACAAAAAGACCCCGGGAGCUUUACUACAUCCUGGGACUGGUUUCGGGAUGUACUUAUGUAGGAUAGGUGGGAGACUUUGAAGCUGGGACGCUAGUCUCGGUGGAGUCGCCCUUGAAAUACCACCUUGGUGCAUUCUAAAACCUAACCCGUGUCCGUAAUCCGGCACGGAGACACUCUCAGGGGGGUAGUGUGAGUGGGGCGGUCGCCUCCUAAAAGGUAACGGAGGCGCCCAAAGGUUCCCUCAGGCUGGAUGGAAAUCAGCCGUAGAGCGUAAAGGCAUAAGGGAGCUUGACUGCGAGACAUACACGUCGAGCAGAGACGAAAGUCGGGCUUAGCGACCCUACAUUUCCGAAUGGAAGGGAUGUAGCUAACGGCUAUAAGUUACCCCGGGGAUAACAGGCUAAUAGCGCCCAAUAGUCCACAUAGACGGCGCUGUUUGGCACCUCGAUGUCGGCUCGUCGCAUCCUGGAGCUGAAGCAGGUUCCAAGGGUUGGGCUGUUCGCCCAUUAAAGCGGUACGCGAGCUGGGUUCAGAACGUCGUGAGACAGUUCGGUCUCUAUCCGUCGUGGGCGUAAGAGAUUUGAGGGAAGCUGACCGAUAGUACGAGAGGAACCGGUUGGACGAACCUCUAGUGCACGAGUCGUCCCGCCAGGGGCGUAGCUCGGUAGCUAUGUUCGGCAGGGAUAACCGCUGAAAGCAUCUAAGUGGGAAGCCCCACCCAAGAUCAGAUCUCUCACAGCGUAAGCUGGUAAGACCCCAGAAAGACUAUCUGGUUGAUAGGCCGCAGGUGUAAGGCUAGUAAUAGCUUCAGCCGAGCUGUACUAACGGUCGAGGGCUUGUUAUC